CUGAGCCCCCCGUCUGUCUAUAUAUAGCCCCAUGCCAUUAAUUAGAGAGCCACUCCUCUCUCUGCCUCGAAAACCGUGCCCUCACCUAACCCUAGGGCUGCCUCCCACCUCUCUAUCCCACCUCCAACCGCCGGGCCCGCCCGAGCCCGGGUCAGGCCCGCCGAAGCCCAUCUCGGCCCUAGGCUAACCCUAGCCCGAGCUCCCGUGCCUUCGCCGUCGACCGCCGCCUCCUGGCCGCAGCAGCCCGAGCUGCCGUGCCCCGCGCCUCCGGCGACACCCGCCGGCCGUCCCGUUCGCCUACCGUCGCCUGCUCCAGCAGCGCUAAGCUCUCCUCGCCGGAGACCUGCAGCACCGGGCCGCAGCCGCCGCCAUGGCCGCCGCCCCACGCCGUGCCUUGGCUCCCCGCCGGCCUCCCGCGCCAGAUCCGGCCGGCCUACGCCGGAACCGGCCACCUGCACCGACCGUCGGAGGCGCCCGCCUCCAUCCCGCCGACGCCUGCUGCCGUCGAGGUCUUCGCCAUCGCAGCUGCGUGUGGCUCCCGCUCGGGAGGAGCCCGACGGGUAGGCCUGUUCCACCUCGCCAGCUCGCGGGCCGCGCAGGAGCAGCCAGGCUGCCAGAUCCGN
This 623-nucleotide long non-coding RNA is filed under the name Hordeum vulgare. Its description in RNAcentral is "long non-coding RNA (HVUL_LNC005822)". Lineage: Eukaryota; Viridiplantae; Streptophyta; Magnoliopsida; Poales; Poaceae. The record is from RNAcentral.